CUGCCCGUCAAGCCCGGCUUGUGUGUUGGGUCGACGUCCCCUCCCUCGCGGGGGGGACGGACCCGAAAGGCAGUGGCGGUGCCGCGCCGGUGCUUCGAGCGUAUGGGGCUUUGUCACCCGCUCCGGAGGCCUGGCCGGCGCCCGUNNUCCCCACACUAUUUUUCUC
This 166-nucleotide unclassified non-coding RNA is filed under the name uncultured Penicillium. RNAcentral's name for it is "sequence contains ITS2". Lineage: Eukaryota; Fungi; Ascomycota; Eurotiomycetes; Eurotiales; Aspergillaceae. The record is from RNAcentral.